This 517-nucleotide ribosomal RNA is filed under the name uncultured bacterium. RNAcentral describes it as "bacterial SSU rRNA". It matches the Rfam family "Bacterial small subunit ribosomal RNA", at positions 33 to 518 of the family's 1533-position model. The record is from RNAcentral.
ACGACGCUGGCGGCGUGCUUAACACAUGCAAGUCGAACGAGACGAUUGAAAGCUUGCUUUGAGAGUCGAGUGGCAAACGGGUGAGUAACGCGUAGACAACCUGCCGCAAAGAUGGGGACAACAGUCCGAAAGGACUGCUAAUACCGAAUGUUGUCAAGUUUCCGCAUGGGAGCUUGAUUAAAGAUGGCCUCUACUUGUAAGCUAUCGCUUUGCGAUGGGUCUGCGUCUGAUUAGCUGGUUGGUGGGGUAACGGCCUACCAAGGCGACGAUCAGUAGCCGGUCUGAGAGGAUGAACGGCCACAUUGGAACUGAGACACGGUCCAGACUCCUACGGGAGGCAGCAGUGGGGAAUCUUCCGCAAUGGGCGAAAGCCUGACGGAGCAACGCCGCGUGAGUGAAAGAAGGGUUUCGGCUCGUAAAGCUCUGUUGAUGGGGACGAAUGUGCGAAAUGCGAAUAGUUUUUCGCAAUGACGGUACCCGUCGAGGAAGCCACGGCUAACUACGUGCCAGCCGCGGC